RNAcentral lists this ribosomal RNA (301 nucleotides) under uncultured bacterium. RNAcentral describes it as "partial 16S ribosomal RNA". It matches the Rfam family "Bacterial small subunit ribosomal RNA", at positions 509 to 807 of the family's 1533-position model. The record is from RNAcentral.
CAGCAGCCGCGGUAAAACGAAGGGUGCAAGCGUUACUCGGAAUUACUGGGCGUAAAGCGUGCGUAGGUGGUGGUUUAAGUCCGUUGUGAAAGCCCUGGGCUCAACCUGGGAAUUGCAGUGGAUACUGGAUCACUAGAGUGUGUCAGAGGAUGGUGGAAUUCCCGGUGUAGCGAUGAAAUGCGUAGAGAUCGGGAGGAACAUCAGUGGCGAAGGCGGCCAUCUGGGACAACACUGACGCUGAGGCACGAAAGCGUGGGGAGCAAACAGGAUUAGAUACCCCAGUAGUCCCUGUCUCUUAUAC